Molecule: long non-coding RNA, 466 nt
Filed under: Sander lucioperca (pikeperch)
Lineage: Eukaryota; Metazoa; Chordata; Actinopteri; Perciformes; Percidae
Description: lncRNA (ENSSLUG00000005242.1)
Source: RNAcentral
CAACAGGCUGGCUGGUGACAAGGGGCAAAGGCUUUAGAUAGAAAAAGGGGGAAAAGUUUAAAAACAUACCAAUAACAAUUAGUUAAGGAGAGUAGCUGAGGACAGACAGGAAGUGAAUGUUAGAGAGAGGGAGUCAUUAGGAACAUAGGAAAAGAGAGAGAAGCUGAGAUUUGAGCUGCAGGUGGAGGUCCGUCAUCUUUGAACCACUGGAAGAGGCACGCUGACGCUGAUAAUUAAGACUCUGACAGAGACCAAGAGGACAGCCAUGUUUUCAGCCAGACCAGAGAUCCAGCCGUAAAAGACAAGAGGCGGUCGCCCCCCUCUAACAGAUCCCCCUCCGCCCCACAACGCAACCCUCACCACAGCGGCUCCACAGACGAACAGGAGAGCCCCGAGAGAGUGGUGAGACACACACACACACACACACACACACAGGGGAACCCAUUUGUAAACAUAAUCUGCAGGG